CAGAUCUGAAAAUAAUUAUAUUGAAUCAUUUAAAAAAUUGCAUCAGAUAUUUAACUUGGUUAUUAGAAUGUCAAAACUAUUUACAGUAACAACCUCAUCAUGCUUGGGCAUCCUACUUAAUUAUGUUGAUGACUCAACAUAAAAUUAUUUUCUGAUCUGUAGUUAGCUAAAUUUUUAGAUGUUGCUGUAAAAUUAUUCCUUUGUUUUUUCGCACCUACCGUGAUUUUAAGGAUAAAUUUAAGACGAAAUUCCGUGUAUAUACGCAUAUCGCUGAGAUUAUUUCUAUUUACCGUAGAAAAAAAUGCCAUUUCUGUCACGCGUUUGUUUUUUGAAUCAAAAUCUUUUAUCAUUUGUGUUUGGUGUAUUUAGAGAUAUGUGUAUCUCGAAAUGGGAUACGAAAUACUUGACGUUGCGUUAUGUAAAAAUGUGCGAUUACGUAAUAUGGAUAAUCUCUCGAGUUGCGAUACAUGCGGAACCGGGAGUCUGUUACUAGGUAGCCUACAUGUAUCACAGCUUGAAAAUUAUCGUUGACCCAGUUCCUUGGUUUUUACGUCCCCGCUCGCGCGAUGUCUCCCCGUGAUAGUAGGUCUUAAAGUUGGCGAAAUGAGGUUAAACCACCAUACGAAAGCCGCGCUCAUAACCAUAUGGUGUCUGCGGCAGUGUUUUACGCUCAGGUAAAGUCGGACGGCGUCGUAUACAUAUAUAGUUCACGUGGUAGCGAGUACCACAUCAAUUCCGCGGCAUCCUGCCGGUGGAUAAAGUAGCGCGAGCAAGGGGAUGAUAGAAGAAAGGAAACGAGCCUUCGUGGUAUCGAGGGGGGUGACAGUGAUCCUCAAACCCACAUUGCCGUUGCUUUUUUACACGGACUAUCGGGAACGGUUACGUAGAUUCUGUUUCGUUUCUAGGAAGUACCGUGUACGUUAACGAGUAAUUUAUUCAAUUAGGUAAACAUAAAUUACGCGCGAGAUUAUCUCACAAAGUUUAACGCGCAAUUGUAAAGAGACAGAAAAAAGAAUAAUUUAUAUUUAUAUAGAUAUACGCGACUCCUUAUAAGAUGAUAAAAACCAUGCAGAUUCGUUAUGUAAAACGAUCUUUGCGUAAUUAUGAAACCCGUCUAUCGAUUACGCGAGUGCGGUCUAAUGCAGCUGGCACGUAUCGCGCCGGGUGUCAUAUAAAAGCUUGGCAGUUUCAAUUUAUACGCGACCACUUGAUGUCACAUCACGCGACACAGUAAUGCACCGCGAUUGCUUAAGGUGAGUACUCACAAUAUUGGAAUCUUGAUGUACUUUUGGAUCCGCUUCGUUGGCGCAAUGUGAGUUAAUAAUGAAUGGGGUGAAGUCGUCUAUUAUAGGGAUAGGUUCCAGAGUUUUUGAGUAUUGAAAGAGUUAUCUGAUUGGUUACCUAGAUUUUGAACUCAAUAAGAUAAGAUUAUAUUAGAGCGACUUACGUGCUACUUUAUUAUUAUGUUAAAUGCAAAAUUCUGGAUUUGACCGCAAAAUUUAACAUUUUAUAAAUAUUUAUUUGAAGUUGCAAUCAGCGAUAGAACUCUGAUAGUACUAACUAGAACUCUUGUCAAAUAUAUUAAUAUUUAUUGUUUUCUUAUACUUUAGAAGAGGAGGGGUCGUACUAGAUUCGCAAAGUUAGCACUUUUUUUUUAAAUAAAAGUGCAGAACUUUUUGUUAUUUUUAUAAAAAACUACGGAACUAUGAAAAGUGCCACCGGAACUCUAUGUGUUUUUUUCAUAUUAACAGAAUGUUGUGCCAACUUCACAGAUUCUUUACCUUAAUGCAUUUAUGAAAAACAAGACGAAUCGAUUCAAGAUAAGAACGCAUGGUUUUAUUUGAAAAAAUAAGAAUGACCUUGAAAUAACUCCAUUCAGAACAAAGAUAUAUUUGUCCUCUCUUUGAAAGCAAACAAUCUUUGUCUGAAACGAUUUCAUUGACAUCGUGAGUCUCCGAGAUGUUCCGUUAUGUCGCUUAAAAUGAGACACUCAGUACAUAAUGGCGUCAUGAGUGCAGGAAAUCGUAUGAGCUGAUUAUUGAUUUGCGUUUCAUGAACAAACAGCCAACGUCGCAAUUAUUCGAAGGAUAAGAGAGAAAUAUAAAAAAAUAAUUACACAACGCGCAAUUAAAUAACUUAUAUAAUUUAUACAUACGUAUAUAGUGCACGUACACAACUUAGGAUCAAUUACUAGUUACAGGCAGAUAUUUAUAUCAGAUGAAUAUUUGGUCUUCUUUAUAUAAGAAGCUGUAGUUGUUAUAUAUUCAGAAAUAUUUAAAUUCAGACUUAAUUGUGCAAAUGCAAGUAUCUUAAUUUUUAUUGAUUAUUAAUAUAAUCGAUUCAAUCAGUUCAUCACAAGCUGCGUUUAAAUCUUCGCUAAUAGUAUGUGAAAAUAGCUUACGUUAAGUAAUAUUUUAUUUAAUAUCGAUAUUUCGCCGAGAAUAAUGAGCAUCUUUCUCGUUUGCCCGUAACAAUUCGAACGUGAUGCAAUGUUAUGCAAUAUCUAUCAAGAAUCGAGAAAUAUGAGUGAGUUUACAUGCGAUACGGAACAAGUACCAGACGAGAAACUGACGAUCGUACGAUCUGCGACAAAUCCGGUUGACAACCACUGACAAGCAGGAGGCAGCUGAGCGGACAAAGAGCGAACGGUUAUUGCAGGACGACAGUGCAGACUCGAAGCCGGCACACCGGCGAGCCCCGCUCUUCGUUCUUCGUUCCACACACACACACACACACACACUCUCUCUCUCUCUC
This is a long non-coding RNA of Solenopsis invicta (red fire ant), 2754 nucleotides long. RefSeq lists it as uncharacterized. Lineage: Eukaryota; Metazoa; Arthropoda; Insecta; Hymenoptera; Formicidae. The transcript has 2 exons. The record is from RefSeq and is a predicted model, not a curated record.